UGGGGAAUCUUGCGCUAAUGCGCGAAAGCGUGACGCAGCGACGCCGCGUGGGGGAUGAAGGCCCUCGGGUUGUAAACCCCUUUCGGCAGGGACGAAGCGAAAGUGACGGUACCUGCAGAAGGAGUCCCGGCUAACUACGUGCCAGCAGCCGCGGUAACACGUAGGGGACGAGCGUUGUCCGGAUUCAUUGGGCGUAAAGCGCGCGUAGGCGGCCCGGAAAGUCGGUUGUGAAAUCCCGGGGCUCAACCCCGGGACCGCGUCCGAUACUUCCGAGCUCGAGGCAGGUAGGGGAGAUCGGAAUUCCUGGUGUAGCGGUGAAAUGCGCAGAUAUCAGGAGGAACACCGGUGGCGAAGGCGGAUCUCUGGGCCUUGCCUGACGCUGAGGCGCGAAAGCUAGGGGAGCGAACAGGAUUAGAUACCCUGGUAGUCCUAGCCGUAAACGUUGGGUGCUAGGUGUGGGCGGACAUCGACCCCGUCCGUGCCGAAGCUAACGCAUUAAGCACCCCGCCUGGGGAGUACGGCCG
RNAcentral lists this ribosomal RNA (524 nucleotides) under uncultured Actinomycetes bacterium. RNAcentral describes it as "bacterial SSU rRNA". It matches the Rfam family "Bacterial small subunit ribosomal RNA", at positions 355 to 888 of the family's 1533-position model. Lineage: Bacteria; Bacillati; Actinomycetota; Actinomycetes. The record is from RNAcentral.